This 473-nucleotide ribosomal RNA is filed under the name uncultured organism. Its description in RNAcentral is "partial 16S ribosomal RNA". It matches the Rfam family "Bacterial small subunit ribosomal RNA", at positions 334 to 798 of the family's 1533-position model. The record is from RNAcentral.
CACUCCUGCGGGAGGCAGCAGUGGGGAAUUUUGGACCAUGGGCGAAAGCCUGAUCCAGCAAUGCCGCGUGAGUGAAGAAGGCCUUCGGGUUGUAAAGCUCUUUUGUCAGGGAAGAAACGGUGAGAGCUAAUAUCUUUUGCUAAUGACGGUACCUGAAGAAUAAGCACCGGCUAACUACGUGCCAGCAGCCGCGGUAAUACGUAGGGUGCAAGCGUUAAUCGGAAUUACUGGGCGUAAAGCGUGCGCAGGCGGUUUUGUAAGUCUGAUGUGAAAUCCCCGGGCUCAACCUGGGAAUUGCAUUGGAGACUGCAAGGCUAGAAUCUGGCAGAGGGGGGUAGAAUUCCACGUGUAGCAGUGAAAUGCGUAGAUAUGUGGAGGAACACCGAUGGCGAAGGCAGCCCCCUGGGUCAAGAUUGACGCUCAUGCACGAAAGCGUGGGGAGCAAACAGGAUUAGAAACCCCGGUAGUCCCAU